AAUACAUCGGAACGUGCCCGAUCGUGGGGGAUAACGGAGCGAAAGCUUUGCUAAUACCGCAUACGAUCUACGGAUGAAAGCAGGGGACCCUCGGGCCUUGCGCGAACGGAGCGGCCGAUGGCAGAUUAGGUAGUUGGUGGGAUAAAAGCUUACCAAGCCGACGAUCUGUAGCUGGUCUGAGAGGACGACCAGCCACACUGGGACUGAGACACGGCCCAGACUCCUACGGGAGGCAGCAGUGGGGAAUUUUGGACAAUGGGCGAAAGCCUGAUCCAGCAAUGCCGCGUGCAGGAUGAAGGCCUUCGGGUUGUAAACUGCUUUUGUACGGAACGAAAAGUCUCGGGAUAAUACCCUGGGACCAUGACGGUACCGUAAGAAUAAGCACCGGCUAACUACGUGCCAGCAGCCGCGGUAAUACGUAGGGUGCAAGCGUUAAUCGGAAUUACUGGGCGUAAAGCGUGCGCAGGCGGUUAUAUAAGACAGAUGUGAAAUCCCCGGGCUCAACCUGGGAACUGCAUUUGUGACUGUAUAGCUAGAGUACGGUAGAGGGGGAUGGAAUUCCGCGUGUAGCAGUGAAAUGCGUAGAUAUGCGGAGG
This 596-nucleotide ribosomal RNA is filed under the name uncultured bacterium. RNAcentral describes it as "bacterial SSU rRNA". It matches the Rfam family "Bacterial small subunit ribosomal RNA", at positions 112 to 704 of the family's 1533-position model. The record is from RNAcentral.